CCCUGGUAGUCCACGCCGUAAACGUUGGGAACUAGAUGUGGGGACCAUUCCACGGUCUCCGUGUCGCAGCUAACGCAUUAAGUUCCCCGCCUGGGGAGUACGGCCGCAAGGCUAAAACUCAAAGGAAUUGACGGGGGCCCGCACAAGCGGCGGAGCAUGCGGAUUAAUUCGAUGCAACGCGAAGAACCUUACCAAGGCUUGACAUAUACCGGAAACGGCCAGAGAUGGUCGCCCCGCAAGGUCGGUAUACAGGUGGUGCAUGGUUGUCGUCAGCUCGUGUCGUGAGAUGUUGGGUUAAGUCCCGCAACGAGCGCAACCCUCGUUCUAUGUUGCCAGCACGUUAUGGUGGGAACUCAUAGGAGACUGCCGGGGUCAACUCGGAGGAAGGUGGGGAUGACGUCAAAUCAUCAUGCCCCUUAUGUCUUGGGCUUCACGCAUGCUACAAUGGCCGGUACAAAGGGCUGCGAUACCGUAAGGUGGAGCGAAUCCCAAAAAGCCGGUCUCAGUUCGGAUUGGGGUCUGCAACUCGACCCCAUGAAGUCGGAGUCGCUAGUAAUCGCAGAUCAGCAACGCUGCGGUGAAUACGUUCCCGGGCCUUGUACACACCGCCCGUCAAGUCAUGAAAGUCGGUAACACCCGAAGCCAGUGGCCUAACCCCUUGUGGGAUGGAGCUGUCGAAGGUGGGAUCGGUGAUUAGGACUAAGU
RNAcentral lists this ribosomal RNA (705 nucleotides) under Frigoribacterium sp. Its description in RNAcentral is "bacterial SSU rRNA". It matches the Rfam family "Bacterial small subunit ribosomal RNA", at positions 785 to 1486 of the family's 1533-position model. The record is from RNAcentral. Lineage: Bacteria; Bacillati; Actinomycetota; Actinomycetes; Micrococcales; Microbacteriaceae.